CCCCAGACUCCUACGGGAGGCAGCAGUGGGGAAUAUUGCACAAUGGGGGAAACCCUGAUGCAGCGACGCCGCGUGAGUGAAGAAGUAUUUCGGUAUGUAAAGCUCUAUCAGCAGGGAAGAAAAUGACGGUACCUGACUAAGAAGCCCCGGCUAACUACGUGCCAGCAGCCGCGGUAAUACGUAGGGGGCAAGCGUUAUCCGGAUUUACUGGGUGUAAAGGGAGCGUAGACGGCUGUGCAAGCCAGAUGUGAAAGCCCGGGGCUCAACCCCGGGACUGCAGUUGGAACUGUGUGGCUGGAGUGUCGGAGAGGCAGGCGGAAUUCCUAGUGUAGCGGUGAAAUGCGUAGAUAUUAGGAGGAACACCAGUGGCGAAGGCGGCCUGCUGGACGAUGACUGACGUUGAGGCUCGAAAGCGUGGGGAGCAAACAGGAUUAGAUACCCGUGUAAUA
RNAcentral lists this ribosomal RNA (449 nucleotides) under uncultured bacterium. Its description in RNAcentral is "bacterial SSU rRNA". It matches the Rfam family "Bacterial small subunit ribosomal RNA", at positions 329 to 795 of the family's 1533-position model. The record is from RNAcentral.